ACGGGAGGCAGCAGUGGGGAAUAUUGGGCAAUGGGCGGAAGCCUGACCCAGCAACGCCGCGUGAAGGAAGAAGGUUUUCGGAUUGUAAACUUCUGUCCUUGGUGACGAAGGAAGUGACGGUAGCCAAGGAGGAAGCCCCGGCUAACUACGUGCCAGCAGCCGCGGUAAUACGUAGGUUGCAAGCGUUGUCCGGAUUUACUGGGUGUAAAGGGCGUGUAGGCGGAGCUGCAAGUCAGAUGUGAAAUCCCGGGGCUCAACCCCGGAACUGCAUUUGAAACUGUAGCCCUUGAGUAUCGGAGAGGCAAGCGGAAUUCCUAGUGUAGCGGUGAAAUGCGUAGAUAUUAGGAGGAACACCAGUGGCGAAGGCGGCUUGCUGGACGACAACUGACGCUGAGGCGCGAAAGCGUGGGGAGCAAACAGGAUUAGAUACCCUGGUA
This 437-nucleotide ribosomal RNA is filed under the name uncultured Oscillospiraceae bacterium. RNAcentral's name for it is "bacterial SSU rRNA". It matches the Rfam family "Bacterial small subunit ribosomal RNA", at positions 341 to 792 of the family's 1533-position model. Lineage: Bacteria; Bacillati; Bacillota; Clostridia; Eubacteriales; Oscillospiraceae. The record is from RNAcentral.